RNAcentral lists this transfer RNA (87 nucleotides) under Clostridium sp. ATCC 29733. Its description in RNAcentral is "tRNA-Leu". It matches the Rfam family "tRNA". From Rfam's summary of the family: Transfer RNA (tRNA) molecules are approximately 80 nucleotides in length. Their secondary structure includes four short double-helical elements and three loops (D, anti-codon, and T loops). Further hydrogen bonds mediate the characteristic L-shaped molecular structure. tRNAs have two regions of fundamental functional importance: the anti-codon, which is responsible for specific mRNA codon recognition, and the 3' end, to which the tRNAs corresponding amino acid is attached (by aminoacyl-tRNA synthetases). tRNAs cope with the degeneracy of the genetic code in two manners: having more than one tRNA (with a specific anti-codon) for a particular amino acid; and 'wobble' base-pairing, i.e. permitting non-standard base-pairing at the 3rd anti-codon position. Lineage: Bacteria; Bacillati; Bacillota; Clostridia; Eubacteriales; Clostridiaceae. RNAcentral also lists the same sequence under 8 other names. The record is from RNAcentral.
GCGGAUGUGGCGGAAUUGGCAGACGCGCUAGAUUCAGGUUCUAGUGGUAGCAAUACUGUAUGGGUUCAAGUCCCUUCAUCCGCACCA